RNAcentral lists this ribosomal RNA (253 nucleotides) under uncultured bacterium. RNAcentral's name for it is "partial 16S ribosomal RNA". It matches the Rfam family "Bacterial small subunit ribosomal RNA", at positions 524 to 776 of the family's 1533-position model. The record is from RNAcentral.
UACGUAGGGGGCUAGCGUUGUCCGGAAUCAUUGGGCGUAAAGCGCGCGUAGGCGGCCCGGUAAGUCCGCUGUGAAAGUCAAAGGCUCAACCGUUGAAUGUCAGCGGAUACUGCCGGGCUAGAGUCAGGAAGAGGCGAGUGGAACUCCUGGUGUAGCGGUGGAAUGCGCAGAUAUCAGGAAGAACACCAACGGCGAAGGCAGCUCGCUGGGACGGAACUGACGCUGAGGCGCGAAAGCGUGGGGAGCGAACAGG